Molecule: ribosomal RNA, 1234 nt
Filed under: metagenome
Description: bacterial LSU rRNA
Rfam family: Bacterial large subunit ribosomal RNA
Source: RNAcentral
UGAUGACGAGACGCUAAGGCGUUGAAGCAGUGUAUGUCAGACUUCCAAGAAAAGCUUGCACUGUCAGAAACAGAUGAUGCCUGUACCAUAACCGACACAGGUGGGUAGGUAGAGUAUACUAAGGGGCGCGAGAUAACUCUCUCUAAGGAACUCGGCAAAAUGACUCCGUAACUUCGGGAGAAGGAGUGCCUUAUUUAUAAGGUUGCAAUAACAAGAUCCAAGCAACUGUUUAUCAAAAACACAGGUCUCCGCUAAGUCGUAAGACGAUGUAUGGGGGCUGACGCCUGCCCAGUGCCAGAAGGUUAAAGAAGUUGGUUAGUGUAUGCGAAGCUGAUGACUGAAGCCCUGGUGAACGGCGGCCGUAACGAUAACGGUCCUAAGGUAGCGAAAUUCCUUGUCGGGUAAGUUCCGACCCGCACGUAAGGCGUAAUGAUUUGGAUACUGUCUCGGAGAGAGGCUCGGUGAAAUAGACUUGUCUGUGAAGAUGCGGACUACCUGCACCAGGACAGAAAGACCCUAUGAAGCUUUACUGUAACUUGAAAUUGGAAUUGGACUUUGCUUGCGCAGUAUAGGUGGGAAGCGUUGAAAAUAUUCUUGCGGGAGUAUUGGAGCUAUCAGUGAGAUACCACUCUUGUAAUGUUAGAUUUCUAACUUUGAACCAUAAUCUGGUCAAAGAACAGUUUCAGGUGGGCAGUUUGACUGGGGCGGUCGCCUCCCAAAUGGUAACGGAGGCGUACAAAGGUUUCCUCUGAACGGAUAGAAAUCGUAUCUAGAGUGUAAAGGCAUAAGGAAGCUUGACUGUGAGACCUACAAGUCGAGCAGGGACGAAAGUCGGUCUUAGUGAUCUGACGGUACUGAGUGGAAAGGCCGUCACUCAACGGAUAAAAGUUACUCUAGGAUAACAGGCUGAUCUCCCCCAAGAGUUCACAUCGACGGGGAGGUUUGGCACCUCGAUGUCGGCUCAUCGCAUCCUGGGGCGGUAGUACGUCCCAAGGGUUGGGCUGUUCGCCCAUGAAAGCGGUACGCGAGCUGGGUUCAGAACGUCGUGAGACAGUUCGGUCCAUAUCCGGUGUAGGCGCUAGAAUAUUGAGAGGAGCCUUCUUUAGUACGAGAGGACCGAGAAGGACACACCGCUGGUGUACCAGUUAUCGUGCCAACGGUAAACGCUGGGUAGCUAUGUGUGGAGUGGAUAACCGCUGAAAGCAUCUAAGUGGGAAGCCCACCUCGAGAUGAG